Molecule: long non-coding RNA, 1912 nt
Organism: Dasypus novemcinctus (nine-banded armadillo)
Lineage: Eukaryota; Metazoa; Chordata; Mammalia; Cingulata; Dasypodidae
Source: Ensembl
GCCUCAACCCUCCCCAGGCUCCUUUAACUUACAAAAGAGAUGCAGCGGAAUACGGUGAAGAGUGGGGGCUCUGAAGCCAUCCCUGCUCUUCACUAGCUGUGAGCCGUGUAACCUCAGACAAGCGAUUUAAUCACGCUCAGUUUCCUCAUUGAGAAAACGGGGCUAAUGGUACCCAAGUGAUGGAGCUUUUGGGAGGAGUGAGGGUUACCGGAGAUGACAAGACUUUGAACCAUAUGUGGGGCCAUGUCAGGUGUUCCACAAGUGUGAGCACGUGUUGUUAUUCCCAUAUCUGUGCAGUUCAGUAUGGAAACCUCGGGCCCCCCCUCCAACAGCAGGGAGCAUCGCACGGGGAAUCAGGGCCAGGCAGAUAGAUCGCCCGCAUGCGGUGGUGCACCGAGAAACGGAGGGAGCUAAAAAUAGACCUCGGAAGUCCUGAAGCUACAGCGAUCUCAACACCACUGCUGAUUUAUGCCGACAUCAGCUUCAUGAGGUGCGCUCUCUGGGGGAUUCAGAACGGUAGCCCUGUCAAAAACGCUCAGGGGGUUCCCGGGGAGACAGUGAGCCGUCGAGGAAGCCGCAACCGAAGGCCCUCCAUUAGGUAAACCGCUGGGCUGGGGGGCUUUCCACUCGGCGCAGGCCCUUGGCGGGGGGCCCUGGGGGGCUGAGGGGCGCCCUGUUCUUCCCUCCGGCCUCAUUUCCCCCCGCCUGAGGCCUUAGUCCCUCGGCAGAAGUUUUCCUGAGGGGUCGGCGGCGGGAGGGUCGUACAACCAAGAGAUGGAAGAGCCCCGGCCUCGGGGUCCGUGUUCCCGGGACCCCAACGGGCCGGCCCAGCCCCCCGAGGCCCUCGCGAGGCGCCUCCAGCCUCCUCCUCUGCCCCGCGCUGCGGUGAGAAGCGCGGACGCCCUGGACGCCCGUGCUCGACCCUUCUGCACCUGCCGCGAAGCUCUCGGCAGUGCUGAGUUCCCGGCCUCCGAAACCUAACCCAGAUCCCCUCGCAGGAGUCUCGUGAGGCCUCACGGCCACCUCUCUCUCCUGGAGGGCUGGGGCAUCCUCGCCUCCUCCUCCCUGUCCUUCUGGGGGCGCUCCAGGCUCUGUUCCUGCAGCAGUCUUUUUUUUUUAAAAAGUCGCCCGGGUCAAGGGCGCGGCUCCCCCACGAGGCUGCCAAGGGGCCUGCUGAGCUCGGAGUGAAGCCUUGGCCCCCUUAGCCGCACAGAGCCCCGGCGCUUUGCUCCCCGGCCGCCCCUGCCCCCGCACGCUCGCCGCGGUCGUUCCCUUUGGACACACCAGGCUGGUGGCAGCCUCGGCCUCUUAGCCCCUGCUGGUCCCCCGGCCUUGGGGCUGUGUCCCCCCGCCCCGGCCUUCUCCUCUAGGCUCUGGAAGAGGGUACCUGCAGCCCACCGGCCACGUCAGACUCCCCAACUAUGUAUGGCCUGCGGGAGAAGAAUGGAGUAUAUAUUUUUAAAUGGUUGGGGGAGAAAUCAGAAGAUUAUUCGUGGCAUAUGAAAAUUGGGUGAAUUUCACAUUUCAGUGCCUGUGAAUAAAGUUUUAUUUCAAAACAGCCCUGUUUGCGUAGUACCUAUUGCUGCAAGAGCAGAGUUGAGUCCUUUCGACAGUCAGUCUGGCCAGCAAAGCUUAAAUAUUGACUCCUUGGCAUUUUAUAGAAGGAGUUUGCCAAUCCCAUGAUCUAGAGUACACGUAUUUAUGUAUCCGUACAAACUACUGGGUUGUGGUAAAUGUUUAACAACUGGUUCUCUGGGGGGCGAAUGUAUGUGUGGUUCAAUAUAUUCCAUGUAUGUGUGUAUGUGUGUAUAGUUUAUUCUAAAUUUUACUGGCAUUUCUCCAUCACUUAAGUCUAGAAGACAGUCAAUAAAACAUUUAAGUCCUGGUUUGUAGUGUUUGCUGACUUUCUUUG